GAUGAACGCUGGCGGCGUGCCUAAUACAUGCAAGUCGAGCGAACGGACGAGAAGCUUGCUUCUCUGAUGUUAGCGGCGGACAGGUGAGUAACACGUGGAUAACCUACCUAUAAGACUGGGAUAACUUCGGGAAACCGGAGCUAAUACCGGAUAAUAUUUUGAACCGCAUGGUUCAAAAGUGAAAGACGGUCUUGCUGUCACUUAUAGAUGGAUCCGCGCUGCAUUAGCUAGUUGGUAAGGUAACGGCUUACCAAGGCAACGAUGCAUAGCCGACCUGAGGGGGUGAUCGGCCACACUGGAACUGAGACACGGUCCAGACUCCUACGGGAGGCAGCAGUAGGGAAUCUUCCGCAAUGGGCGAAAGCCUGACGGAGCAACGCCGCGUGAGUGAUGAAGGUCUUCGGAUCGUAAAACUCUGUUAUUAGGGAAGAACAUAUGUGUAAGUAACUGUGCACAUCUUGACGGUACCUAAUCAGAAAGCCACGGCUAACUACGUG
RNAcentral lists this ribosomal RNA (497 nucleotides) under uncultured bacterium. RNAcentral describes it as "partial 16S ribosomal RNA". It matches the Rfam family "Bacterial small subunit ribosomal RNA", at positions 28 to 507 of the family's 1533-position model. The record is from RNAcentral.